AAGGCCUCGCGAAUUGAUUGCUACCACCAGAUCUCACUUGGUGCAAAUCAUGAACCGUUGGAUAAAAGGAAGGGAGAUACUGCAGUUACCAGGAUAAGGCUCGUGAUAUUUUCACUUUGUAAUUUGCCGCUCGAAGUAGCUUUUUUAUUUUUUAUUUUUUAUUAUAACAUGAUGAAUGUAACUCGUUGAAAAUAGAAACUUUACCGAUGGAGUCGAGCCUUUCUUAACAUUCUGAAUUCUACAAGUGAAAAGUCCUAUAAUUUCAAAACAUAAAAUCAAUUUUUUUAUUUUUUUUUUAUUUUAAGUAAUGAUCAUUUUAGUCCCUAAAUAUGUAAUAAAU
RNAcentral lists this long non-coding RNA (340 nucleotides) under Medicago truncatula (barrel medic). RNAcentral's name for it is "long non-coding RNA (MTRU_LNC005652)". The record is from RNAcentral. Lineage: Eukaryota; Viridiplantae; Streptophyta; Magnoliopsida; Fabales; Fabaceae.